UGGCUAAAGACGGAGGAAGGAAUGGGCAACGGUAGGUCAGUAUGCCCCGAAUAUCCCGGGCUACACGCGAGCUACAAUGGUUGGUACAAUGGGUAUCUACCCCCCAAAGGGGGACGGGAAUCUCCUAAAACCAAUCUUAGUUCGGAUUGAGGGCUGCAACUCGCCCUCAUGAAGCUGGAAUCCGUAGUAAUCGCGUUUCAACAGAACGCGGUGAAUACGUCCCUGCUCCUU
Molecule: ribosomal RNA, 231 nt
Filed under: uncultured Methanosaeta sp.
Lineage: Archaea; Methanobacteriati; Methanobacteriota; Methanomicrobia; Methanotrichales; Methanotrichaceae
Description: partial 16S ribosomal RNA
Rfam family: Archaeal small subunit ribosomal RNA
Source: RNAcentral